UUAAUGAGGCGAACCGGGGGAACUGAAACAUCUAAGUACCCCGAGGAAAAGAAAUCAACCGAGAUUCCCCCAGUAGCGGCGAGCGAACGGGGAGGAGCCCAGAGCCUGAAUCAGUGUGUGUGUUAGUGGAAGCGUCUGGAAAGGCGCGCGAUACAGGGUGACAGCCCCGUACACAAAAAUGCACAUACUGUGAGCUCGAUGAGUAGGGCGGGACACGUGGUAUCCUGUCUGAAUAUGGGGGGACCAUCCUCCAAGGCUAAAUACUCCUGACUGACCGAUAGUGAACCAGUACCGUGAGGGAAAGGCGAAAAGAACCCCGGCGAGGGGAGUGAAAAAGAACCUGAAACCGUGUACGUACAAGCAGUGGGAGCACGCUUCGGCGUGUGACUGCGUACCUUUUGUAUAAUGGGUCAGCGACUUAUAUUCUGUAGCAAGGUUAACCGAAUAGGGGAGCCGAAGGGAAACCGAGUCUUAACUGGGCGUUAAGUUGCAGGGUAUAGACCCGAAACCCGGUGAUCUAGCCAUGGGCAGGUUGAAGGUUGGGUAACACUAACUGGAGGACCGAACCGACUAAUGUUGAAAAAUUAGCGGAUGACUUGUGGCUGGGGGUGAAAGGCCAAUCAAACCGGGAGAUAGCUGGUUCUCCCCGAAAGCUAUUUAGGUAGCGCCUCGUGAAUUCAUCUCCGGGGGUAGAGCACUGUUUCGGCAAGGGGGUCAUCCCGACUUACCAACCCGAUGCAAACUGCGAAUACCGGAGAAUGUUAUCACGGGAGACACACGGCGGGUGCUAACGUCCGUCGUGAAGAGGGAAACAACCCAGACCGCCAGCUAAGGUCCCAAAGUCAUGGUUAAGUGGGAAACGAUGUGGGAAGGCCCAGACAGCCAGGAUGUUGGCUUAGAAGCAGCCAUCAUUUAAAGAAAGCGUAAUAGCUCACUGGUCGAGUCGGCCUGCGCGGAAGAUGUAACGGGGCUAAACCAUGCACCGAAGCUGCGGCAGCGACACUAUGUGUUGUUGGGUAGGGGAGCGUUCUGUAAGCCUGUGAAGGUGUACUGUGAGGUAUGCUGGAGGUA
Molecule: ribosomal RNA, 1071 nt
Filed under: Escherichia coli
Lineage: Bacteria; Pseudomonadati; Pseudomonadota; Gammaproteobacteria; Enterobacterales; Enterobacteriaceae
Description: partial 23S ribosomal RNA
Rfam family: Bacterial large subunit ribosomal RNA
Source: RNAcentral